AUUGAACGCUGGCGGAAUGCUUUACACAUGCAAGUCGAACAGCAGCACGGACUUCGGUCUGGUGGCGAGUGGCGAACGGGUGAGUAAUAUAUAGGAACGUAUCCAAUAAUGGGGGAUAACUAAUCGAAAGGUUGGCUAAUACCGCAUACGUCCUACGGGAGAAAGCUAGGGACCUUCGGGCCUGGCGUUAAUGGAGCGGCCGAUAUCGGAUUAACUAGUUGGUGAGGUAAAGGCUCACCAAGGCGACGAUCCGUAGCUGGUCUGAGAGGACGAACGGCCAAACUGGAACGGGGACACGGUCCGGACUCCUACGGGAGGCAGCAGUGGGGAAUUUUGUACAAUGGGCGAAAGCCGGAUCCAGCCAUUCCGCGUGAGUGAAGAAGGCCUUCGGGUUGUAAAGCUCUUUCGCAAGAGAAGAAAACUUACCCUCUAACAUAGGGUGAGGUUGACGGUAUCUUGAUAAGAAGCACCGGCUAACUACGUGCCAGCAGCCGCCGUAA
This 500-nucleotide ribosomal RNA is filed under the name uncultured bacterium. RNAcentral describes it as "partial 16S ribosomal RNA". It matches the Rfam family "Bacterial small subunit ribosomal RNA", at positions 30 to 523 of the family's 1533-position model. The record is from RNAcentral.